CUCAUCCCUCUUGUCCUGGGCACCAAGUGUAAGCUGCCGUCACCUCUCCAUCAGCCCUAAAUACGGGUGCCCCUCUCCCACAGAACCUGUCUCCAGAGAAGAUUUUCCACGUCAUCGUGGCCCCUUGUUAUGACAAGAAGCUGGAGGCUCUUCAGGAAAGCUUUCCCCCUGCUUUGCAUGGCUCCCGGGGCGCUGACUGUGUGUUAACAUCAGGUGAAAUUGCUCAAAUCAUGGAGCAAGAACCUCUCAGUAGAGGGAGGGGCUGCCCUGAGUGAAGUAUUAAAGACACUUAAGAAAACC
RNAcentral lists this small RNA (300 nucleotides) under Pongo abelii (Sumatran orangutan). Its description in RNAcentral is "retained intron". The record is from RNAcentral. Lineage: Eukaryota; Metazoa; Chordata; Mammalia; Primates; Hominidae.